Molecule: ribosomal RNA, 644 nt
Filed under: Flaviramulus aestuariivivens
Lineage: Bacteria; Pseudomonadati; Bacteroidota; Flavobacteriia; Flavobacteriales; Flavobacteriaceae
Description: bacterial SSU rRNA
Rfam family: Bacterial small subunit ribosomal RNA
Source: RNAcentral
GGUAACAGGGAGCUUGCUCCGCUGACGACCGGCGCACGGGUGCGUAACGCGUAUACAAUCUACCUUUUGCUGUGGGAUAGCCUUUGGAAACGAAGAUUAAUACCGCAUAGUAUACAGAGUUCUCAUGAACAUUGUAUUAAAGGUUACGGCAAAAGAUGAGUAUGCGUCCUAUUAGCUAGAUGGUAAGGUAACGGCUUACCAUGGCUACGAUAGGUAGGGGCCCUGAGAGGGGGAUCCCCCACACUGGUACUGAGACACGGACCAGACUCCUACGGGAGGCAGCAGUGAGGAAUAUUGGACAAUGGAGGCAACUCUGAUCCAGCCAUGCCGCGUGCAGGAAGACUGCCCUAUGGGUUGUAAACUGCUUUUAUACAGGAAGAAACACUCCCUCGUGAGGGAGCUUGACGGUACUGUAAGAAUAAGGAUCGGCUAACUCCGUGCCAGCAGCCGCGGUAAUACGGAGGAUCCAAGCGUUAUCCGGAAUCAUUGGGUUUAAAGGGUCCGUAGGUGGAUAAUUAAGUCAGAGGUGAAAGUCUGCAGCUCAACUGUAGAAUUGCCUUUGAUACUGGUUAUCUUGAAUUAUUGUGAAGUAGUUAGAAUAUGUAGUGUAGCGGUGAAAUGCAUAGAUAUUACAUAGAAUACCA